CUCACAGAGAUCCGCCUGGCUCUGCCUCCCGAGUGCUGGGAUUAAAGGCGUGCGCCACCACCGCCCGGCUUUUUUUUUUUGAGACCUUGUCAAAAAGCAUUUUUGUUCGUUCAUUUUCUCAAAUGCAAGAAAGCCAGAGUAAAUGGUUACAGACAGACACGGGAGACACAGACUUCGUUCAAGAGGAGCUCACGCAGCUGUAAGAACAACCUGCUGUUAAGUGAGGAGGGCUGGGGAGAUGACCGGGAGGGUGAGGGCCCUUCUGCGCUAGAAGAGGACCUGGUUCAGUUCUUAGCACCUUUAUCAGAAGGCUCAAAACCACCGAAGUUCAGCUCCAAGGGAUCUGAUGCCCUCUGCCUCCUCAGGCACAUGCUUACACACACACACACACACACACACACACACACACACACACACACACUUUUAAAGUUUGGCAAGUGAAUCUACAGGUUAGAAGUUUACAAAAAAAAAAAAAAUUAACAAAAAGAAUCCAAAUAACAAAAAAAACAUGAGGAAAGACAUAAUUUGCUGUGGAUGUAUCACAAGGUAGAGGAAGUCAGCCUGAUCAUCAAUUAACAAUGGUAAUACCUGCUGAAAACAGGUGGUUCGGUGAUUUCAUUAUGCGGACAUCAUGCAGUGUCCUUAUCCAAAAUGGGCAUGAUGUCACUGGGCCACUUUUUUUUUUUUUUAAGAACAGAUCUCUCCAUGUACUCCUGGGUGGUCUAGAACUCACUACAUAGGCCAGGCUGGUCUGGAACUCACAGAAAUAUAUCCUCCUCUGUCUUUCCAGGUGCUGGGACUAAAGGUGUGUACCACCACACCUGGCAAGGCUGUUCACUCUUAUGAAACACACCAUCUGGCCCAUGACUGUACACACAAACGCGCACACACUGUAAAAACAGUACAAAGUCAUUUUCAUAAACAUCUUUGAAUGCCUGCAUAUUUUGGAAUGAUUCUCAAGAAAAUAUUAAAGGUGGCUACCUCCGGAGGUGCCAUAAGAUGGAAGGCUGGAGUGAGGCCUAUAACUACCAUCAUGCCAUUGUAACGGCUGAGUAGUUAUCCUCCUAUGGAUUACACGUUACGAACCAGUCUCUACUAGUGUAUGAGUCUGGGUCUUGUGUUCGAUCCGUACAAUCUCCUGAGCGAAGAUCUAAAGUGAGGGUCUGCUGUGUUUAAGGCUCUCCGGUCAGAUUCUCUGUCUAAGAGCCCGUGGUGGUUAAUCGUUAGCCGCUGUGAACCCCUUAUGGCACUGGGAACUAUUCUGAGAACAAAGGCUGUCGUAGCCUGGGAGUAGGUGACCAGAUGUGAAAAAAGUGAAAAACAUUAUCAUCUCUUUAGACCAAGCAUCAUGAUGUGUGAACCAGGGCUGCGUCAUUUUCAUCAGAAAUGAACUAAUGAAUGGGUGGGCUGACAAGCAGUCCAGUUGUGGAAUUUCUUCCUGGGAUACAAGUUCUUCCUCUGGCUGGCCUCAGGCGUCACCGUCCUCCUAAGAAACAUCAGACCCGCCCCUGACAGAGCACUCCUUUCCCCCAGAAGAGGGCAGUUCUCCGUGAAGGUCUAUGAAACAAAUUGUUGAUACUGACAGACGUCUUUUUCCCGGAGAAAAGCUCACCCUAUUGCUGACACCAGAGCGCUAUCCUAUUUCUUAUCCUUUGGCGAGUCCAAGGGCUGUUGGACGCCAGGAAAUGAAGGUCAGAUGUCUAUUUCACUGUGUCACACUAGAGAGAGACAUCCAGCUCACAGACAUAGAAACAACCUCCUUUACUGGUGACUUCCUCAUUUCCUGACCCAGAUCCUGCAAGGACUAGCUGGACUUCCAGCCCCCAGGCAGUAAAGAUUUACUACAUGUUAUUGUUCA
This is a long non-coding RNA of Peromyscus maniculatus bairdii (prairie deer mouse), 1858 nucleotides long. RefSeq lists it as uncharacterized. The record is from RefSeq and is a predicted model, not a curated record. NCBI's taxonomy places the organism in Eukaryota, Metazoa, Chordata, Mammalia, Rodentia, Cricetidae.